This 437-nucleotide ribosomal RNA is filed under the name uncultured Clostridium sp. RNAcentral's name for it is "partial 16S ribosomal RNA". It matches the Rfam family "Bacterial small subunit ribosomal RNA", at positions 341 to 792 of the family's 1533-position model. The record is from RNAcentral. Lineage: Bacteria; Bacillati; Bacillota; Clostridia; Eubacteriales; Clostridiaceae.
ACGGAAGGCAGCAGUGGGGAAUAUUGGUCAAUGGGGGAAACCCUGAACCAGCAACGCCGCGUGAGGGAAGAAGGCCUUCGGGUUGUAAACCUAAGUUGUCAGGGACGAAGAAAGUGACGGUACCUGAAGAGGAAGCUCCGGCUAACUACGUGCCAGCAGCCGCGGUAAUACGUAGGGAGCGAGCGUUGUCCGGAAUUACUGGGUGUAAAGGGUGCGUAGGCGGGAUUUUAAGUCUGACGUGAAAGACCGAGGCUCAACCACGGUAGUGCGUUGGAAACUGAGAUUCUUGAGUGAAGUAGAGGCAGGCGGAAUUCCUAGUGUAGCGGUGAAAUGCGUAGAUAUUAGGAGGAACACCAGUGGCGAAGGCGGCCUGCUGGGCUUUAACUGACGCUGAGGCACGAAAGCAUGGGGAGCAAACAGGAUUAGAUACCCUGGUA